This 1082-nucleotide long non-coding RNA is filed under the name Equus caballus (horse). RNAcentral's name for it is "lncRNA (ENSECAG00000047765.1)". The record is from RNAcentral. Lineage: Eukaryota; Metazoa; Chordata; Mammalia; Perissodactyla; Equidae.
AAAGAAGGAGAAAUAGGAAGGAGUAAGAAUAAGGAAAGGCAGGAAGGAUGCAGGUUGUGUCAGAGCAUGAAACAUUAGCACUUAAGAUUCAACACUGGAAUAGUUAUCAGAGGUACAGCCAAGGGAGUGAGAGGCUACAGUGAAGUGGAAUCAAAGGCCACUGAAGUUGUGUCAGGAAAUGUUAGGGUUAGGAUUCUAUGAGUCACCCACACAAAUAUCAAAAUCCCCCAGGAUGUUGAGAACGAUGGCAGUGAAGAGAUAGAAGCCAAAAUCUUGAGUGAACGUAGUGUGUGGCCAAGAGAGAGUAGAGCAUAGUUGUCAGUUAUACCUGCGUUAGUGCCAGACAGACUUUGGUUCAAAUCACAGCCCUACCACUGACCAAUUCUCAUCCUUGGGCACCUUGUUUACCAUGUCAAAUUACAGUCUACUCAACUACAAAUUGGGGGAAAUAAUAAUGUGUAUCCCACAAGGCCAUUCUGUGUGGCAGAUGCUAACAAUUGCCUACCCAACAACACCCAUAUCUUCUUCCUCACUAACAGAACCCAAUCCUCCAUGAACGCUGCGAGCAGGUUGGCCCUAGCCUUAGAUCUUGGUUCAUCUUAGCCAGUCAUGGAGAUCCCUUCUUCUCUUUCAAUAACUGUCUUAGGAAAGACCCAAUACUGGACAACGAGAUGUGGAAUAAGCCUUCUGGGAUGACUUCUGAGAAAUGUUACUUAUCUCUUCAUAUUGGUUUGUGAAGAUGUGAUGCCAAGAGCUUCUGCAGCCAUCUUGCUACUUUUUUUAGGGGGGUGAUCCAUUAUCUAAAUACUUUCAAGAGGCCGAGCUGACUAUUGAUGUAGAAUGAUUCAGACAACAAGAAUUUGCUCCCAGAACUUAUAGCUAUAUCGACAUAUGGAGAGCAAACCAGAAUGCGACCACUGCAGCCCUGUCCUCGUUUUCCUGCCUUCCUGUUCCUCGGAGGGAUGACGGUUUUUGACUCAUUUGCUGAAAGCCUGAUAGACAUCUUGAAUAAUUUACCAACUUCGAGUCUAGAUUUCAAACUUAAGCUAAACCAAACAGACGACCUAUACACAGGAUAAAUG